This 9323-nucleotide long non-coding RNA is filed under the name Podarcis lilfordi (Lilford's wall lizard). The record is from RNAcentral. Lineage: Eukaryota; Metazoa; Chordata; Lepidosauria; Squamata; Lacertidae.
CCUGGCUCUCUGCCUCAUUACAGUGGUACCUCAGGUUAGGUACUUAAUUCGUUCCGGAGGUCGGUUCUUAACCUGAAACUGUUCUUAACCUGAAGCACCACUUUAGCUAAUGGGGCCUCCUGCUGCCACCACACGAUUUCUGUUCUCAUCCUGAAGCAAAGUUCUUAAGCUGAAGCACUAUUUCUGGGUUAGCAGAGUCUGUAACCUGAAGCAUAUGUAACCUGAAGCAUAUGUAACCCGAGGUACCACUGUAUAUGACUUUGUGAAUGGGUUUGUCAUAUUCAUACAUUAAUGCAUCCCAGGGGUGGAGAACCUGUGGCCUGCCAAGGAUUGUCUAGUCCAGGGGUAGGCAACCUAAGGCCCGUGGGCCGGAUGUGGCCCAAUCACCUUCUAAAUCUGGCCCGCGGACGGUCCGGGAAUCAGCGUGUUUUUACAAGAGUAGAAUGUGUCCUUUUAUUUAAAAUGCAUCUCUGGGUUAUUUGUGGGGCACAGGAAUUCGUUCAUUCCCCCCCCCCCCAAAAAAUGUAGUCCGGCCCACCACAUGGUCUGAAGGACAGUGGACCAGCCCACUGCUGAAAAAGGUUGCUGACCCUGGUCUAGUCCAACCUUCUGCAAUACCUUACCAUCAAUAGCUGCUGGGGUUUUUCCUCAGCACUUCCAUUAAUACCAUCUUCCCACCCCAAAAAAAUUCUGCUGCCCAGUUAAUUAGGAAGGACCUCUUUAGCCUAUCUGAUAUUGUUUUGAAAAUAAAUAAGAUGUACCAAUGUCCCACAGGCACAUAUCUGUGCACUGACGACCCCAUCAUCUGUGGGAUGAGUGCAGGAUGCAGCCCCUAUUUGCAUAAGAUAAUACAAAGAAUCUCUCGCACACCCCUGCACACCUUUUUGCUGCACUGAAUAUCUGAAUAUCUUAUCUUUGCUAAUAUAAAUCACCAUUAUCACGCUGUCUUUAAAAUGCCGUUUGUCACAUCCUUCACCGAUACCGCUUAUGAGAACCAAAAGCUGGGAGAGACAUAAUGUUUGCUCCAUUGCGAAGGAAAAGGAAAUUGUGAAAAAGGCGUAUUCCCUGCUAGGGAUUAUUAGGAAUUGCAAGUAAAACUGCGGCUUUCAUAAUGCUGUUAUACAAAUCUUUGGGGUGACUGCGUUGGGAACAGGGCAUAUACUUCUGGUCACUACACCCCCCAAAAUGGGUAUUGUGGAGUUGGGGAAAUGUCCAGCAAAGCACAGUGAAAAUGACCCCGGAGAUUAAGAUGACCCAGGAGAUACUACUACUACUACUACUACUACUAAUACAGGAGAUACUACUACUCCGAAGCCUGCCUGCCAAGCCGUCGCCAUCUUGGACUCCCGCUGAUAACAGGACUGUAGUUGGCGUUGACUGCCACCCAGGGAAGUAGUUUUUCCUUUUUUUACUUCUCUACUUUUUAACUUACCGAGAUUCUGGCAGCACCUUCUUGUCAAUGCUGUGGGAGACAUCCUGGGCAAGUUCUGUGAAGCAUCCUGGGCAGGCCGCCAGCUGCUAGCUAUUAACCGCCAACUCCCUUCUAUACCUUGUUCCUGAAACUCCUGGCAGCCUCCACACAGAGAAGCUCUUAAAUUGAACAAACUGAACAAACUGAGCACUUUCUAUUCUUUUCUCUCUUUUUUGGUUGGGGAAACCUCUCCUUGUUUACUCCCCACGGUGACGCUAUGCCUGCUAGUAAACGCCACAGGGACCCAGAGGAUGUAGCUCUCUCACCGGUUCCCAAACAAUCUAAAAUAGAGGACUUUUUAACAAAUCUGCUUUUACAGUUCCAACAAAAAACCGGUUUUCUCCUCUUGAAGAUGAUUGUGAGUGUGGGGAGAGUAUUCAAGGUGAGAGCGUGGAACUGGAUCCAGCAAUGGGGCAAGCUGAUCCUGUGCUCCUCAGAGAGGAAGGAAUAACAAGUAGGGAGAGCACCCAAUUAACUCUAAUUGCAAGAACGGUUGAGCAUAUCUUCCAGCAAAUUAGAGGUAUUGCCUCUCAAAUAACCCAGUUAUCCAAAGAGGUCCACAGUUUAUCAGUUAAUAACAAGCAGGCAUCAACAGACCACCAUCGUACCAAAGGAAAUUGGCGACAACAAGAGCAGACCCCUAAGCUCAACAUAGAACGUGCAGAGGCUCUUAAAACAAACUCUUCUUAUUUAAUUUUCCAACCAAAAAAGAUCUGCAUGACAAUUUGUGGAAGGCCAGAUCAAACUCCUAGCUGGAAAGGUGCCCAGCGUUCCAAACGACAUUUAUCAGACUUACUUGGCAUGGGACUUACAGAGAUCGACCUCGUUAAGACUGAACUCUUGAAUACCACAAAUCAAAGCCAAAAAUUAUGUUAACUUUUUCCUCUACUAGACUGCCCUCACUGAUUCACAAGCUGAAAUUCAGAUUGUCAAGCAGAGGAGUUUUUCCAACCCGGGUAUUUCGCAAUUCUAUUGUUGCACCCUUAUGUAAGAUGAGGACUGCUGCUUCAGAGGGGCUCACAAAACCAAAGCCUGGACCCCCAAUGGAAGUAAUAACAUCACAAAAAAACUUGGCAGGUGGGGAGGAAACAGACAUGCCUGAGUUGAAUCCGCAGGAUCAUGCCCAACAUCAAAAUAACCAGGUGAGUCAAAAGGAACAGCCGAUUCCUCUAGACAAUCAUCUUCAGGAAUCUGAGCACUCUGUAAAUCCUUUGGAAGAGGAUUUUCUCAGCUCCUUUAGGAAUCUCCCUCAGGAAGAGCAACAAACAGUUAUCAAGAGGCUUGAUCUUAUGAGCCAGACAUUGAAAGAGAUUAAAGAACCGGAGGCAGAGAUUGAUAAUAGAUCCAAUGGCCACAACAGAAUGAUAACUCUAGAACCACCGGAGUAUUGGACAAAGAUGAGAUAUUUAGAAGAGGAGGAGUCAGGAAAUACACCCAAGAAAUCCCCAUUGGCAAACAAUUUGCAAAGAAAAGGCCCAGUGAUUACAAAUGUGAGCACUUUAUGUACGACGACUGAAAUAAUCGAACAUCUGGAUUAUUCCACUAGCAUUAGCAAUAACCUGUUGCCUCAAAAACUGGUAAACUCCGAGAGCACAUCGGCCAACAAUUGACUAAGAGUAAAUCAUUGUAAAACAAUUAAACUUCUCUCAUGGAAUGUAACAGGGUGGACGAACAAGAUCCAAGACAGUGAUUUCUGUUCUUAUCUACAAACACAUGAUAUCAUCUUUCUUCAAGAAACCUGGGCAAAAGAGGGCACUAUGGUUGAAUUACAGGGUUUUACAAGUUACACUCAACCAGCUCUUAAAACUGUAAAGUAUGGAAGGCCUAGUGGGGGGCUGGCGGUGCUGGUGUCAACCUCUCUUAAUGUAUCAAUUCAACAGUGUCCCUCGUUGACCACCCCUAAUUUUUAGUGUUGUCCCUUUCUGAUAGUCUCCUGAGAAAUACUUAUUGCAUAUGCGUGUAUAUACCUCCAGUAAAGUCUUGUGGGGAACUGAGAUCAUAUUGGGAUAAACUUGACCAACUACUCGAAAGUAUAGACUCUCUGUCACCUAACCCUCGGUUUAUCUUGGGAGGUGACUUCAAUGCCCGGAUCGGCCUUGUUUCCCCACAAAAUACAAUAUUAUCUGGUCUAAACUUGGAGGACGAACCUGAAAUCUGUCAGAGGGCAGCAAUGGACACCAUCCCUAAUCGCGCUGGGAAACAUCUUUGUGAACUUAUAAUAAAGCAUAACCUUUUGUUAUGCAAUGGGCACGGUCAAGGGGAUCAAGAGGGUUAUUUUACUUUUAUCUCCCCCAGAGGAUUUACUAGCACCAUAGAUUAUAUCCUAACAUCUAAUAAUGUGCCAGUUAACCGAGAUACCUUCAGGAUAAUUCCCAGAGCUGAAAGUGACCACUUUCCACUUGAGUUAUCUCUGACAUUAUUCUUUUCUCCUGCCUUUCCUAAAUUAUUGGAUGAAACAGAAUAUCUGAUACUUGGAAAUAGAAGGUUAAAAUGGAAUGCACAGGUCCAAGAAAAAUGAUUCAGAUCCUGGAUUCCCAUGAAUUUGCUCUAUUAAAGGGGAAAUGUUGUUAGAAACAGGAAACGUAAUUGGACUUUAUGAGAACAUAAUCAACCGAAUGCGCCCACUGAUGACCACAGCUAGUGUGAUAAAAACAAAAAGUUUAAGAGACAGACUUGGUUUGAUAAGGAAUGUCAGAAUAGCAAAAAUGCCUAGCUAGGGUACUUAGAAAAUUGAAGUUAAAACAGGAUAAGCACAAUCUUGCCCUACAAGCUGAGGUAGCCCAGUUACGAAACAACUAUAAAUUAUUACUUAAAAGCAAGAAACAAAUAUAUUAUGAACAACAGUGGAAAGAAUUGGGAGAUGCAGCACUUCAGAAGGACUCACGGAAAUUUUGGCAUCUGGUUGCCCAAGGCACCAAUGGGCUGGGCUACUCAUUAGAAGCAUCUGUCCAAGGAAAGGAUUGGGUGACAUAUUUUACAGAAAUAUAUCGCCCCUGUCCUGACCUACCCCCACAAGUUUACUAUACUCAGUUAUCAGAACUGCCAGAAUGGCCAGACGUCACGCCCAAUCAGAUUAAGAGGCUAAUCGCAAGCCAACUAGCUAAUAAAGCUCCAGGAGAAGACAUGAUCCCAAUGGAGAUCUAUAAGAUAAGACCUGAUUUCUGGUCACCCAUUUUUGCAAAAUUGUUUUCAUACAUUAACAGCUCAGGUCAUAUACCUGAAGGGUGGAAGUUGAGUAUAAUUGCCCCAAUAUAUAAAAAGGGCGAUAAGAAAAACCCUGCUAAUUAUAGACCCAUUAGUUUGUUAGAUGUAGCCUCCAAACUAUAUGCCAGGCUCCUUCUUGGGAGACUAGAAGAAUGGGCAGAUACAAAUAAGGUGAUAUCUGAAGUCCAGGCAGGUUUCCAAAGAGGGAAAUCCACAUUGGACCAGUGCUUUGUGCUGAACUUUCUGCUAUGUAAAUACAUCCAUAAUUUGAAGCAAAAAUUAUAUGUUGCUUUUAUCGAUCUAAAGUCAGCUUUUGAUACGGUCCCAAGACACGCAUUGUGGCAAAAAUUGGAAAAGACAAAUAUAGACCUCCGUCUAUUAUUUCUCAUCAAAACAUUAUAUACUGACACAUCAAUACAAGUAAAGGUGGAUCUGGCUGGCCAUCUCACCACUAGAAUUAAGACCACUACUGGAGUCAAACAGGGAUGCAUUUUGGCACCUUUCCUGUUCAAUUUUUAUAUUAAUGACAUGGUUAAAGAACUGGAGGGCCUACAGUUUGCCCCUGUCACAAUUCUCGACCAAAAACUCUCAGUUUUAAUGUAUGCUGAUGACCUAGUACUUGUAUCUAGAACCCAGGUGGGCCUGAGACGGCUGCUUGCAAAAUUAAGUUCAUAUUGCAUGAGGAAUGCUUUAUCUAUAAACUAUGAUAAGACGCAGGUCAUUGUAUUUGGGAAGCGUUCUAAAAAGCAUGUUUGGCACCUGGAUGAACACAUCAUAAACCAAGUAAAUACGUUCAAAUAUCUGGGAUUGAUUUAUUCAGAAACGGCAUCUUGGAAUACACAGCUAUCCAAUAUUAAAUUGCAAGCCUUUAAAUCAGCAAAAGCCAUUCUGAAAUUCGCUGCAUGUAAAGGUGGAAAUCUGGUCAACCCAGCUCUAUCUGUGUAUAAAGCAAAAACAAUGGCCCAGAUUUUAUAUGGUGCAGAGGUUUGGGGUACCUCAAAGGUCUCCGGUCUGGAACCCCCACAGAAUUAUUUUUAAGAGUUCUUUUAGGUUUACCCAAAGACGUGCAAUCUGCCAUGGUCAGGUUGGAAACUCGCAUGUUGAGCAUAGAGAGCCAAAUAGAUAAAAGAAUUCUCUGUUACUGGUUUAGAGUUCAACAGAUGGACAACACUAGGCUACCAAAAAAAUGCCUGAUUGAGCUCUCAAAUGGAUUACCCUUUAAAAACUGGGUACAUCAUGCUGCCCAACUGAUGGGCAAAUAUGACCUCUCAGUGACUGAGAUUAAAGAACUCCCCUUAUAUUCACAGAAAAAUAUUUUUAAACGAACCAUAAGGGCAGUGGCAACUAAAAACGAUUUAAACUCUAUGUGCACAUCUACAUGCGCCCCAUUGUAUUUUAAACUUAGAGAGGUCAAUGAACACAUAUCUUAUUUUAAUGAAUUGACUUUUGCACAGCUUCGAAAAGCUUUUACAGAGCUACGACUAAAUACAAUAAGCUCUGCUUAUAGAGAUGGGAGACAUAGAGGCAUACCAAAAACGAACGUGUUUGCAUUAGGGGAUGUUCUGAAGUAGAGGACCUUAUGCAUUAUAUCUUGCACUGUCCGUUAUAUAAUGAUGCAAGAAAAAGAUUUUUGGUACCUAUAAUGACAGGGUCCCCUGGCCAGAACCCCCUUGAUAUGAUGUUAUAUCUCCUUGCAGACACAGAUAAGUAUGUGACCUGGCGGGUCGCACUUUUGCAACUGCUGCUAGGAAAAUUAGAGCAAAUUAUAUAGCCAAGGUAGCCAUUAACUGUAAAGGAGAUGAAUUUAUUUGAUCCUAUCUAUCUACCUCAGGCUAUGCUCUAUCUUUGUCACCAAACUCUGAGUAUAAAUUGCACACUGUAUUAAUUGAUAUUGUUUUUAACAUUAGUGACCAUGUGAUGAUUUUAGCUUAUGAAUUUUAUCGUUUAAUGUUUUUAUUUGUACAUUGGGGUACUUUUAUAGCUUUGUUUAGAGUAUGUAAUGUUUUAAUAAUAUAAAUGUUUUAAGUCUUUUUUUACCAAUUCAGUAUAUUUUCUUUUAAUUGUCAAAUAAUUCUGUGUACAUUGCGGCAGCCUUUGGCUAUGUGCAAUAAAACUGACUGAGACNNNNNNNNNNNNNNNNNNNNNNNNNNNNNNNNNNNNNNNNNNNNNNNNNNNNNNNNNNNNNNNNNNNNNNNNNNNNNNNNNNNNNNNNNNNNNNNNNNNNCGAAGCCUGCCUGCCAAGCCGUCGCCAUCUUGGACUCCUCCAAGUAAGUCAGCCUCUGGGGAUUGGCUUCUUGGGUCACUCUGGAGAAGGUCCAUGCCUAAAACUGUCAGGAGCUUGUCCUACACUUGAGUAGGACCCUGGCAGAGACACAUGCCCGACCGGCAUGUUCUCUCCCUCCUGGUCGUUCAUUCGGGAGCUUCAAAAGCUUGCUUCAGCCUGAACAUUACAGCGACCGAUGUCAACAGACAUUGGCACACUUAGGGAUCCUCAAAGUCUUCACAGCUUGUGUAACGGACCUCAGCAACUCAGCAUUUUGGCUAAUCUACUUUUGUUGUUGUUUAGUCAUUUAGUCGUGUCUGACUCUUCGUGACCCCAUGGACCAGAGCAUGCCAGGCACUCCUGUCUUCCACUGCCCCCGCAGUUUGGUCAAACUCAUGUUGGUAGCUUCGAGAACAUCCAACCAUCCCGUCCUCUGUUGUCCCCUCCUCCUUGUGCCCUCAAUCUUUCCCAGGAUCAGGGUCUUUUCCAGGGUGUCUUCUCUUCUCUACUUUAUUUACAUAUAAAUACACACGGAGCACUGCAACAUGGCUCCCUCGCUCUUUAGCAUCAGACAGCAAAGAGAAAGAACACAGGACAAUAGUCCCACUUCACGGAACACAGGAACACAAACAUCCUGUCUCUGUCACUUCCCACUCUGUGGAGUCAAAACAUACACCGUCAUGUGAUAGACAAAAAUCCCAUGACUGCAAUCACGGAGCAGGAAUUCUAACAAAAACACCAAAGAAUUGUUGUUUCUACAGUGGUACCUGUAGAAACUUAAUUCGUUCCGGAGGUCCGUUCUUAACCUGAAACUGUUCUUAACCUGAAGCACCACUUUAGCUAAUGGGGCCUCCUGCUGCUGCCGCGCCGCCAGAGCACGAUUUCUGUUCUCAUCCUGAAGCAAAGUUCUUAACCCGAGGUACUAUUUCUGGGUUAACGGAGUCUGUAACCUGAAGCGUAUGUAACCUGAAGCAUAUGUAACCCGAGGUACCACUAUAUAUGCUUGAAUGCUAAACAUUUAGGAAUACUGAAAACACAGGGCAUUUCCAUUCCAAGAGAAUGGUGUGCAUGUUCUGUUAUGAACAAUGGACCUUCAUGCAAAACACAACGUAAGUCAUUCAGAAAGAAGAUGUCGGAGCACUCCAAAUCAUUUGGACAAGUACGUGCAGGGAACAUAGUAGGCCUAGUGGACAGGCAACACAUGGAGAUCUGCAUUGGUUGUUGCAAUGCACCCCUAAUUAUCACUUUUGUAUAAUUAUAGAAUUCUUGCAUACCCUUAGAAGGGGCAGGGCUGUAACUUACACAAAGGGACCCUGAAUUUGCCACUACACUACUGGAUGGGGGUUGUAGUAGUAGAACAACUUCUAGGGGCACUACAUUGGUAACUGUGGCUCGAAAAUUACUUCUGCUGCUGCAGAAGACCAAACACACACACACACACACACACACACACACACACACAGUCAAGAGAGAAAGAACAGCAGGAAGAAUUGUUGAGAAAGGUCACCAUUGUUUGCUCCCAAGAGAUUAUGGCAAAGGCACCUUUGCUAAAAGUCAAAUCAUCUGCAUCAUUUAGGAAGAACAGGAAAAGGGCUAUUAGGCUGCAAAAUGAGCAUGAACAAUGCAGCCCUCACUGUGGGCAAAAUGGUUUUAAUAGGAUCUGCAGGGAACUUGAUCUGCCACCAAGUGUUUGAUCCUUUCCUAUAGACAAUCUCUCGUCUAUAUUCACGCACAUACAGAACCCUGGAUUGUAUUCGAGUGGCAUUUUGAGUUCAAAUGUCACAUCUGAUUGGCUAACAUAACUCUGGACGCAAGCCAAGGAGAGAGAGAGAGAGAGAGAGAGCGCCAGAGCUAAUGUCUAACUGGAUGUGACAGAACAUUAAAUCGCUGAGCAGCAGCUAAGGAAUUCCUUUCUGUUGCUUUCAAUAGGACUUUCUCGGGACUCAACCAGCCCCACUGAAAUCAAUGGAAGUCUGUAUCUGAGAAGUUGUGCCCACAGAUUUGCAACGUUUGUCUCGCUUUUGCUCGAUUGAUGGUCUGGGUCAUUUUAAAAGGCUUUCCCUGGAAGCAUGUGGCUGUGUUUGUAUCUCGCUUAUAUCCUCUGUACAUGCAUAGCCCUUGUAAGCUUAUGCAAAGGUGUGGUUGCCAUCCACUGUAAUCCACAGGACGGAAGUAGCUCUGUGGCAGGCUAAUAUGUGGUCAACAGAGGUGUAGUGGCCAGGAUCACAGGGAAGGGCUGGCGCUGUGGGUAAACCACAGAGCCUAGGACUCGCCGAUCAGAAGGUCGGCGGUUCAAAUCCCCGCAACGGGGUGAGCUCCCGUUGCUCGGUCCCUGCUCCUGCCAACCUAGCAGUUCGAAAGCACGUUCAAGUGCAAGUAGAUAAA